RNAcentral lists this ribosomal RNA (430 nucleotides) under Pseudomonadota bacterium. RNAcentral's name for it is "Proteobacteria bacterium partial 16S ribosomal RNA". It matches the Rfam family "Bacterial small subunit ribosomal RNA", at positions 355 to 776 of the family's 1533-position model. Lineage: Bacteria; Pseudomonadati; Pseudomonadota. The record is from RNAcentral.
UGGGGAAUCUUGGACAAUGGGGGGAACCCUGAUCCAGCCAUGCCGCGUGUGUGAAGAAGGCCUUAUGGUUGUAAAGCACUUUAAGCGAGGAGGAGGGUACUGGUAUUAAUACUACCAGGUACUGGACGUUACUCGCAGAAUAAGCACCGGCUAACUCUGUGCCAGCAGCCGCGGUAAUACAGAGGGUGCGAGCGUUAAUCGGAUUUACUGGGCGUAAAGCGUGCGUAGGCGGCUAAUUGAGUCGGAUGUGAAAUCCCCGAGCUUAACUUGGGAAUUGCAUUCGAUACUGGUUAGCUAGAGUGUGGGAGAGGAUGGUAGAAGUCCAGGUGUAACGGUGAAAUGCGUAGGGAUCUGGAGGAAUACCGAUGGCGAAGGCAGCCAUCUGGCCUAACACUGACGCUGAGGUACGAAAGCAUGGGGAGCAAACAGG